This 216-nucleotide unclassified non-coding RNA is filed under the name uncultured Actinomycetes bacterium. Its description in RNAcentral is "uncultured actinobacterium contains 16S-23S intergenic spacer region". Lineage: Bacteria; Bacillati; Actinomycetota; Actinomycetes. The record is from RNAcentral.
UCCGAGUUGUCCCCGGCAGUCCUCUUAGAGUCCCCGGCAUUACCCGCUGGCAACUAAGAGCAGGGGUUGCGCUCGUUGCGGCACUUAAGCCAACACCUCACGGCACGAGCUGACGACAGCCAUGCAGCACCUGUGCUAGCCCCUUACGGACACGGGCUUUCACCCGCUUUAACUAGCAUGUCAAGUCUAGGUAAGGUGGGGAUGACGUCAGGAUAG